AUACGUAGGUGGCAAGCGUUAUCCGGAUUUACUGGGCGUAAAGGGCGUGUAGGCGGUCUUGCAAGUCAGAAGUGAAAUUCCUGAGCUCAACUCGGGCGCUGCUUCUGAAACUGCAGGACUUGAGUGCUGGAGGGGAUAGCGGAAUUCCUAGUGGAGCGGUAAAAUGCGCAGAUAUUAGGAAGAACACCGGUGGCGAAGGCGGCUAGCUGGACAGUAACUGACGCUGAGGCGCGAAAGCGUGGGGAGCAAACAGGAUUAGAUACCCGGGUAGUCCACGCCGUAAACGAUGAAUACUAGGUGUAGGGGGUAUCGACUCCCUCUGUGCCGCAGUUAACACAAUAAGUAUUCCGCCUGGGGAGUACGGCCGCAAGGUUGAAACUCAAAGGAAUUGGCGGGG
RNAcentral lists this ribosomal RNA (397 nucleotides) under uncultured bacterium. Its description in RNAcentral is "partial 16S ribosomal RNA". It matches the Rfam family "Bacterial small subunit ribosomal RNA", at positions 523 to 918 of the family's 1533-position model. The record is from RNAcentral.